RNAcentral lists this ribosomal RNA (2449 nucleotides) under Micrococcus luteus. RNAcentral describes it as "partial 23S ribosomal RNA". It matches the Rfam family "Bacterial large subunit ribosomal RNA", at positions 1 to 2290 of the family's 2925-position model. The record is from RNAcentral. Lineage: Bacteria; Bacillati; Actinomycetota; Actinomycetes; Micrococcales; Micrococcaceae.
GUGAAAGUUUCCAAGGGCGCAUGGUGGAUGCCUUGGCAACAGGAGCCGAAGAAGGACGUGGGAAUCUGCGAUAAGCCUGGUGGAGUCGAUAACCGGACGUUGAGACCAGGAUUUCCGAAUGGGGAAACCCCGCACGACGUGUCGUGUGACCCCCGGUUGAACACAUAGACCGGGUGGAGGGAACGUGGGGAAGUGAAACAUCUCAGUACCCACAGGAAGAGAAAACAAAAGUGAUUCCGUUAGUAGUGGCGAGCGAACGCGGAUGGGGCUAAACCGUAUGUGUGUGAUACCCGGCAGGGGUUGCAUGUGCGGUGUUGUGGGCCCCUCCUUGUCAUGUCUGCCGGCAUGGCGCAGUGAGGUGCGGGCAUAUAGACGAACCAGUGUGGAUGCUGGACCGUAGAGGGUGAGAGUCCCGUAGUCGAAAUGUGUUCCGCCGCUGUUGGAGGGUUGCCCGAGUAGCACGGGGCCCGAGGAAUCCCGUGUGAAUCUGCCAGGACCACCUGGUAAGCCUGAAUACUACCUGUUGACCGAUAGCGGAUCAGUACCGUGAGGGAAUGGUGAAAAGUACCCCGGGAGGGGAGUGAAAUAGUACCUGAAACCAUGUGCCUACAAACCGUUGGAGCCUCCUUGUGGGGUGACAGCGUGCCUUUUGAAGAAUGAGCCUGCGAGUUAGUGAUACGUGGCGAGGUUAACCCGUGUGGGGAAGCCGUAGCGAAAGCGAGUCUGAAUAGGGCGAUUGAGUCGCGUGUCCUAGACCCGAAGCGGAGUGAUCUACCCAUGGCCAGGUUGAAGCGCGUGUAAGAGCGCGUGGAGGACCGAACCCACUUCAGUUGAAAAUGGAGGGGAUGAGCUGUGGGUAGGGGUGAAAGGCCAAUCAAACUCCGUGAUAGCUGGUUCUCCCCGAAAUGCAUUUAGGUGCAGCGUCACGUGUUUCUUCCCGGAGGUAGAGCUACUGGAUGGACGAUGGGCCCUACAAGGUUACUGACUUCAGCCAAACUCCGAAUGCCGGGAAGUGAGAGCGUGGCAGUGAGACUGUGGGGGAUAAGCUUCAUAGUCGAGAGGGAAACAGCCCAGACCACCGGUUAAGGCCCCUAAGCGUGUGCUAAGUGGGAAAGGAUGUGGAGUUGCUGAGACAACCAGGAGGUUGGCUUAGAAGCAGCCACCCUUGAAAGAGUGCGUAAUAGCUCACUGGUCAAGUGAUUCCGCGCCGACAAUGUAGCGGGGCUCAAGUACACCGCCGAAACCGUGGCAUUCAGUUUUGCUGGAUGGGUAGGGGAGCGUCGUUCACGAGGUGAAGCCAGCGGGUAACUUCUGGUGGAUUGUGGACGAGUGAGAAUGCAGGCAUGAGUAGCGAAAGACGGGUGAGAAACCCGUCCGCCGGAUGACUAAGGGUUCCAGGGUCAAGCUAAUCUGCCCUGGGUAAGUCGGGACCUAAGGCGAGGCCGACAGGCGUAGUCGAUGGACAACGGGUUGAUAUUCCCGUACCAGUGAAGAACCGUCCAUGUUGAGCCGGUGAUACUAACCGCCCGAACCAUCCCGAACCUCGUCUUUGACGGGGUCGGUGAUGGGGAGCGCGGGACCUGAACCGGGGAGGCAAGCGCAUUAACAGGUGUGACGCAGGAAGGUAGCCGGGCCGGGCAAUGGAAAUGACCUGGUCUAAGGGUGUAGGGCUGCCGGUAGGUAAAUCCGCCGGCUGUAUGCCUGAGACCUGAUGGGCGCCCACAUGGUGGGUGAUCCGGUGAUCCUAUGCUGCCUAGAAAAGCAUCGGCGUGAGGUUCAAACUGCCCGUACCCUAAACCGACACAGGUGGUCAGGUAGAGAAUACUAAGGCGAUCGAGAGAAUCAUGGUUAAGGAACUCGGCAAAAUGCCCCCGUAACUUCGGGAGAAGGGGGGCCCCAACCUUGAGCACCACGUGCUGGUGUGAGGGGAUCGGGGCCGCAGAGACCAGGGGGAAGCGACUGUUUAUCAAAAACACAGGUCCAUGCGAAGUCGUAAGACGAUGUAUAUGGACUGACUCCUGCCCGGUGCUGGAAGGUUAAGGGGACCCGUUAGCUUCGGCGAAGCGGAGAACUUAAGCCCCAGUAAACGGCGGUGGUAACUAUAACCAUCCUAAGGUAGCGAAAUUCCUUGUCGGGUAAGUUCCGACCUGCACGAAUGGAGUAACGACUUCCCCGCUGUCUCAACCAUGAACUCGGCGAAAUUGCAUUACGAGUAAAGAUGCUCGUUACGCGCAGAAGGACGGAAAGACCCCGUGACCUUUACUAUAGUUUGGUAUUGGUAUUCGGUGUGACUUGUGUAGGAUAGGUGGGAGACUGUGAAGCGGGCACGCCAGUGUUCGUGGAGUCGCCGUUGAAAUACCACUCUGGUCACUCUGGAUAUCUAACUUCGGCCCGUGAUCCGGGUCAGGGACAGUGCCUGAUGGGUAGUUUAACUGGGGCGGUUGCCUCC